UAUCAAUAAGCGGAGGAAAAGAAACUAACAAGGAUUCCCCUAGUAACGGCGAGUGAACCGGGAAGAGCUCAAAUUUGAAAUCUGGCGUCCUCAGGGCGUCCGAGUUGUAAUCUAUAGAGGCGUUUUCCGUGCCGGACCGUGUCCAAGUCCCUUGGAACAGGGUAUCAAAGAGGGUGACAAUCCCGUACUUGACACGACGACCGGUGCUCUGUGAUACGUCUUCUACGAGUCGAGUUGUUUGGGAAUGCAGCUCAAAAUGGGUGGUGAGUUCCAUCUAAAGCUAAAUAUUGGCGAGAGACCGAUAGCGAACAAGUACCGUGAGGGAAAGAUGAAAAGCACUUUGGAAAGAGAGUUAAACAGUACGUGAAAUUGUUGAAAGGGAAACGAUUGAAGUCAGUCGUGACCGAGAGGCUCAGCCGGUUCUGCCGGUGUAUUCCCCUCGGUCGGGUCAACAUCAGUUUUGUCCGGUGGAUAAGGGCAGGAGGAAGGUGGCACCCUCGGGUGUGUUAUAGCCUCCUGUCGCAUACAUCGGGUGAGACUGAGGAACGCAGCUCGCCUUUAUGGCCGGGGUUCGCCCACGUCCGAGCUUAGGAUGUUGACAUAAUGGCUUUAAACGACCCGUCUUGAACCA
RNAcentral lists this ribosomal RNA (631 nucleotides) under Papiliotrema laurentii. RNAcentral's name for it is "eukaryotic LSU rRNA". It matches the Rfam family "Eukaryotic large subunit ribosomal RNA", at positions 41 to 661 of the family's 3401-position model. Lineage: Eukaryota; Fungi; Basidiomycota; Tremellomycetes; Tremellales; Rhynchogastremaceae. The record is from RNAcentral.